ACUCCUACGGGAGGCAGCAGUGGGGAAUAUUGGACAAUGGGCGCAAGCCUGAUCCAGCCAUGCCGCGUGAGUGAUGAAGGCCCUAGGGUUGUAAAGCUCUUUCAGCGAGGAGGAUAAUGACGUUACUCGCAGAAGAAGCCCCGGCUAACUUCGUGCCAGCAGCCGCGGUAAUACGAAGGGGCUAGCGUUGUUCGGAAUCACUGGGCGUAAAGCGCACGUAGGCGGACUUUUAAGUCAGGGGUGAAAUCCCGGGGCUCAACCCCGGAACUGCCUUUGAUACUGGAAGUCUUGAGUCCGAGAGAGGUGAGUGGAACUCCGAGUGUAGAGGUGAAAUUCGUAGAUAUUCGGAAGAACACCAGUGGCGAAGGCGGCUCACUGGCUCGGUACUGACGCUGAGGUGCGAAAGCGUGGGAGCAAACAGGAUUAGAUACCCUGGUAGGACAGUC
This 446-nucleotide ribosomal RNA is filed under the name uncultured bacterium. RNAcentral's name for it is "bacterial SSU rRNA". It matches the Rfam family "Bacterial small subunit ribosomal RNA", at positions 335 to 800 of the family's 1533-position model. The record is from RNAcentral.